Molecule: long non-coding RNA, 757 nt
Organism: Passer domesticus (house sparrow)
Lineage: Eukaryota; Metazoa; Chordata; Aves; Passeriformes; Passeridae
Exons: 4
Source: RefSeq, a predicted model, not a curated record
ACAGUUCAAGGAGGACACCUGGAGGCUUGGAGGACACCUGGAGGCUUGUUCACCUUUUCAUUUUCUUGACUGUUUACAGGCAAUGAAACAGAGCUUUUGCUAAGGGAAAGCUACAACAAUGCUCAAAGAGAAAGGAGACAGCAGUGUCUAAGAAAGGAAAAAGGGAAGAUAAGAGGAUUCAUUUAAAUGCAGCGAAGCUGAGCUAAAACCUGGAUCAAAGCCUUGAAAUGAUACCAUGAAGUUGGUGGAAGCCUGGUAGAACUGGCCCAAAUGAGACUGCUGAAUAAUAAGUGACUCAUUCUUAUAAUUCUCCCUCUCUUUCAUCUUUGUGUGCUGAAGGAGAAAGUGCCUUUCCUUCUGGAACAAACUUCUGAAAAACAUUCUGGCGGGUAUUUUCUUUUCCUGCUAAUCUUUACCUUCAGUGUUGUAGACAUUCAGGAAAUAAAAGUUCCAGUUCUGAGACCAGAAGGGCUAUGGUGCUUAGAAGGUGUUGAAGAAAGGUCUUGUCAGAGGGUUACCCUUUGGCUACAGAGCCCCAACCCAAUAUCUCAACUGCAGCUGAGUGGAGCAUGAACCUCCAUCCUGCCAAAGAAUUGUGCCAUUUAUUCUUUGUUAUCCAGUUAAUUCUUAGGGAGUCUCAUUUUGUCUCAUCUCUUCUCCACAAAUUAUUGUGCAACUUAAUGUGGAGAAAACAGUCAAACAAGCAUGUUAUAACUGCAAUGAGUGGAGCAAACAGCAUGGCAAUAAAGUUGACCGA